AUCUUUAAAUGGAAAGGGCUUACACCUUUGUGACUUAGCUGUGGCCAGUGCUUUCUGGCAUUCAUUGUACACCCUUCACCCAGGAAUAGCUGGGGUUGAGGAAGUUAUGAGUCCUCUACAGAAAGUAUUACACUUCGAAAAGUAUUGCUUCAAAUUGAUUUCUUAUUAUAUUUCUAAAAAGCGAUUUUGUAUUCUCUUCUGAAUUGACCAAAAUGCUCAAUGUUCUAUUUGGGGGAGGGGAGGGAUGCUUCUCUGGCUGUCAUCUUCGUUGCUGCUGUAGCUGUUAGGGUUCCUUUUUUUCCCUCUGCUGGGGCUGUGUGGGGAGUGGGAGGGGCGGGAGGCGGGGGGCUAAGGAGAAAUCUUCCCUUUGUACAGGGUCUCCGUGUUGUGAACCCGGAGCCAGGGUAGAAGCUGCUUUUGUGUUCAGUGUGAGCUGGUGUUUACAGCAGAUUUUGACAACAGUGGAAGUGUACUCAGUGGUGUCUGUGUUUCUGAACUAUUUAAUUUUGUGUUCUGUUUAUAUGAAGAUAUAUUUAUGCAUAUUUCACCAAGUGUCUAUUUAAUGUUGAUAAAUAUUACUCUUCAGUCUUCAGCAGUGGUGUCCCUUGAAAGUGCUUCUUUAAGGUCCACUUGAGCAAUGAGUAGGGUCUCUCGAGCUUUCUUGUGGCUAAGAAGAGGAAAAAGCCUGUUGGUGUUGGUGUUGGGAGGAACCUAACUCUUUCCAGGUAAUAAAAAAGUCAACUGUGACUUUAGCAUAACAGCUUAAUUCCCUUCUCGUUAAACCUGAUGGAAACUGGUCAAAGCAACCCUCCGCCAGUGUGUUUGAAAUCACAUUACAAGGGGAAGAAAGGCAAAUCAGUAUAAUGGAAAGAAUGAUUUUUUUUUUGGCCCACACUUGACCAAAAAAUAAGAAAAAAACAGGAACUAUUUUCUAACGUGCAUAGCAAACUGCAGAAUGUUAUGUUAUCCACCUGUGAAAUGUCUAGGAAGCAACUGCAUCUAUAUUGAUAUUACUCAAGUUGGCCUGGCACUAACUAAUACAUUUGUGAAUGCUGAUUCAUGUCUUCCUGUACAUCAGUAAUUCGCAUUCUCUUUGAAAGUCCUAUCUUGCCUCCUUUUCAAAAGGCUAUUUCCUAUAUUCUUUUUAAAAAUAGAGAAUUAAAUUUAAGAAACAGACAAAUCGUGAGUUUUGGCAAAACUGAGAAGGUCAGUAACAAUUCUCCUUAAACAUGAUUAUCUCCUGAUCCUUGUCCUCUUAUGAUGCUUUCUUUUCUUAGGAAGAAAAGAAAGAAGUCUGGAACAUCAGCUCUCCUUUUCUGUUACUGGUUUAAUUAUCUAAGUGGUUUUAAAUCUCUCGUGGAUGAAAACUGCUUUUAAGUAUUGUCUACUGACCCUGACUAUAGAAAUGUGGGUCCAACUCUUAGGUCAUUUUCAAAAAAAGGAAAAUAAGAAAACCUGAUUCUUUUGAAUAUGCAGAGUUUAGAAGUGUAAUCAAAGAUGUAGUGAAGUGUAUAUAACCAGACAUAACUACACAUAUAUUUCUCAAAGGAUUUGUCACCAGAAAAGGUAUUCAGCAUUUACAUAAAAUCAAAAUGUCUUCAUCCUCAAAAUGGGACUCAAACUGUUUUAUCCCAUGUGAGUGAGGUUUGCAGUGCUUUCAUGAUUAUGCACUUCCAUCAAAAGAGGAAAAUCGUCAAAUCUAAGUAAGCUAUAGGUGAAGAUGCCACCGCCCACCACAUACAUACACACACCCACACCCAUAGCCACCCCCACCCCCCCAUUCUCUAUCCUCCAAGGUCUACCUGAUGGAUAAGAGAAGAGAGCUCUCUGGUCCUCUGUUCCCUUUGGCUCUGUUCUCUUUGGCCCACCACCUUCAUGAUGGAACCAUGAAGACCUGUGGUCUUUCUGCUAGUUCACCAUAUUGUCCUGAAUCAUCCUUGACUUCAGAUUUAGCCUUGACUCUCCAGAUAAGUUCCAUUUCUAUUCACCCUUUCACACGUAAUAGUUCUAGAUUCUGACAGAAAGACAAUAGGCAGAAAGCAUAAGCCACUAGAAGCUGCAGUGGCUGAAGAUCUAGAAGUCAUAGCAGCUUUCUCUGCCACCGCCUUGUGUGCAGACGGGCAAUUCACGGCCCUGGGAAGGCCUGAGAGCCCUUUGUGCAUCACAUGUGAGACGGGGGAGGGCACGGCUCUGAUACAGUCAGCUGCCUCUAGUCUUAGGAAGGAGAAGGAUGGCAAGGCUCAGGCACAGUGAAGGCGCCUUGUGGAGAAAACAUGAGACAAAGGAAGAGCCUGGGGGGCAUUCCUGGCGCCCUGUUCUUAUCUGAGUAGAGGGGAUUCCCAGAUGAGGACACACGACUCGGAAAUGGGACAAUCCAUCACAGCAGCUUUGGGGGACAAGCGCAAGUGUCAUGAAGAAGCUCUGAACGGAGCACAAGGAGCCCUGAGCUCUCAGCCCAGUUCUGUCACCAGGGAAUGAACAUGUCCCCUGCCUUGCAUGUCACUUACCCUUUAACCCACUGGCUUUUCAUGAGUUCAUGCUCAUACUCAUAAACAAUCUGAAAGCACCUUAAUUGGCUUUCUAAUAGUAAAAAAGUCAAAUUGAGGCAGAGCGUUAGGUGAAUAACUGCAACGAUGAGUGUAGAUUGUAUGUCCAAUGAACACUUGAAAAAUUCUCAUUUUAUAUAUCCAUCAGAGUUGUUUACUUAUAUUUCAAUACAACAAAAUCUAAGGAGUUCUCAUGAUUUGUUGGUAAACUUGGAAUUCUAUUGUUUCAAAUACCACUUCAGGCCAGGACAAUCACUUGAGGCCUCACAACUGUAUGUAAGUGGAAUUGCUGGAUAGUGGGCGUUUGUUUUGGUCUCUCAGUGGUAUGUCUUGAAACAAACUGAGACUUUAUAGAAUACAUCGCCCAAAACAUCCUUUCUUCGAUCUAACAAUCCCCCUUCCACCACCUUCUCCAAAAGAGUAUUUUUUCCUUACAUGUAAAGUGCAACAAACUUAAUUCAACCGUGUAAACUUUAGCCCAUACUAGGUUCCAGGACAAUUUUACUGCUUCCCUCUAUGUAAGUUAUGUCGUCUCUUCUUGUGUUUUCACGACUCUGUUUUGUAGGAAUUCAGCCUCUACCAGGAUUAAUGCUGUGUGAGUAAAUAUUCCAAACCUUAGGAACUGGUUCCAGGGACAGGAGCCCAGGGCGCUUUUAGAACUGGGAAUUCCAUUUUAUUUUCCUUUUUUUGUUGUUGUUGGUUUGUUUGGUUUUUGCUUUUUGUUUGUUUGUUUGUUUGUUUGUUUGUUUGUUUAGGGCCAUUCCUGCAGCAUAUGGAAGUUUCCCAGGCUAGGGGUCCCAUAGGAGAUGUAGCUGCCAGCCUACACCACAGCCACAACAAUGCAGGAUCUGAGCUACACCUGUGAUGUAGAGCUGCAGUCAUGGCAGCACUGGAUCCUUAACACACUGAGCAAGGCCAGGGAUCAAACCCAUGUCCUCGUGGAUACUAAUUGUGUUUGAAACCUGCUGAACCACAGCAGAAACUCCCCCAUUUUCUUUUUCUGGCUUUAGUGUCACUGCCUGAGAAAGGAAACUCAUGUUGAGAUUAAAAAUGAACAAAGAAAAACAAGUUCAUAAAGUGACUGUGUUCAAUAUAAGUUUGUGACUGCAUAAUAUUGUCGCCAGGCUCCAAAAUGGACAAGUGUUAGUAUUGUUAAUUGGACAUACGUUACACUCACAGCUUCACACACCUUGAUCAACAUUGCACUUGGCAUGUGGACAUGGACACCCAAACACUUUGGUAGACUGUUAGGACUAUAGUUGCUCUAGUAGAACCACAAAGACUCAGCACAGAGUUCUGACACUGCCACUCUUGGCCUGGGCUGAGAACACCCCAAGUAAUCACCCAGAUCCAAGGAGGCUCUCAUCUGAGUUGCACCAGAUGAGAGGUAAAUGGAAAGGGAGGCCAUAUUCUCGAUUGCAAAGAGGUAUUAGUAACACUUCUGUCACCCAAACAACUCUAUCUUAAACUUAAAAGAUUAUCUCCAGGAUAUAAACAUUUAUUCUUGUUCUUUCUUGGAGUCCAAAAUACUUAGCAAUUCUGAAAUUUCCAUACCAAACCCCAAACUAUGUUUAUCCUAUAUUCUGUGACUUUUUUGAUGAUAGAAAGUGGGUGUUAUUCAUUCUGUGGCUGGCAUAUGAUCUGUCAAACAGUAGACAUUCAAUAAAUGUGGUUGAAUGUUAUAAUUAAUAUAGCAAAUAUUUGUCAGAAUUAUAUGCUCCACACUUCAAGUGUAGCCAGAGGUCAUUGAGCUGGGAAAGUAAAGGAAAUUUGGUUCAUUAAUAUGACAGUUUUCAAAUAAACUAUUACAAAGCAAUAAGGGGAAAUAUUUUAAUAGAUUUGAAGUAGUAAAUAUGAUGAGGACAGGAAGGGGAAAAAUCGACUCUUUCCUUUAUCCCUAGAAUUUGGAAACUUUUUACCAGAUUGGUCAACUCUACUUUAUUCUAUUAAGAGAAGUAUUGAGUGUUUAUAAAUAUAAGUCUUAUGUUUGUACAGGUGAAGUUCUGUAGUUUGGCUUAAAACAUCUUUGCAUGAAGUUUUGCUUGGCAUGAAAGGAGAGAUUCCAUUCUGUUCUGCAAGCAUUAAACAAAAGUUCUAUCUUAUGUUCAUUCCUCAUAUAGCACAUGGGUAUUUUCAUCCCCCUACGUACAACACUCCAAAGAAAUUUCUUUGGAGCUUAUGCAUAGGACUAUGGGAAGGCAACAUUUUGAGCAAUGCCCGCCCCCCCUUUUUCAAACACACAGGAACUGUCUCUAAGUUUGGUGCAGGUUUGAGGAAUAAUUAAAUUAGGCUUCCAUGUUGGUGAAUCAGCAUAUUGAUUUUUCUUGGCAGAAAGCUUUCUGGAAAAUGUCUAUGAAAUGUUUAGUGACUCACAUCCUUGUAAUUCAUGAGGGUGUAGAAACCACUGUCCAAAGAGAUGGCUAUAUAUUUGCUUUGUAAGCAAAAGGCAUGUAUCAUAGUUGCAUCUAAAAUAGCGUCCCAUCUUUAUCAAAGGCACUGAGUUUUACCUGUUUUUAUUUCCUAGUGUCCUAUUUCCUCAGUAGUCAUUUUAGAUAUGUCAUAUGCUAUUUUUAUUCCUUUGCCUACAAAUAAGUCAAUUGUCUGUACUAUAAAAUGAUGCCUGCAACUUUGUGGUGAUAUUAUCCCCUAAGUUUAAUAGUGAAAUAAGGAA
This 5217-nucleotide long non-coding RNA is filed under the name Sus scrofa (pig). RNAcentral describes it as "lncRNA (ENSSSCG00000054443.1)". Lineage: Eukaryota; Metazoa; Chordata; Mammalia; Artiodactyla; Suidae. The record is from RNAcentral.